Molecule: transfer RNA, 24 nt
Filed under: Coptotermes acinaciformis acinaciformis
Lineage: Eukaryota; Metazoa; Arthropoda; Insecta; Blattodea; Rhinotermitidae
Description: partial tRNA-Tyr
Source: RNAcentral
UAAUUUAUAUCAGCCACCCCACUA